This is a non-coding RNA of Arachis ipaensis, 589 nucleotides long. The record is from RefSeq and is a predicted model, not a curated record. NCBI's taxonomy places the organism in Eukaryota, Viridiplantae, Streptophyta, Magnoliopsida, Fabales, Fabaceae.
UAUCUCACCAACUGUGAAUGCAAUGAAAAGAGCAGCAAGGAAUUUGGUGAGCGAGUAAUCAAGAUAAGUAUGCUGAGGAAGACACCCUCGCCUCUCUAACAAAGUCAAGAUAGUAGGCCAUGUCCCCAAGAAGAAAAGGGCCAAAAGCACGCAAACUAUGGCACCCGCCUUACUCUCCAACAAGUACAUUUCCAACUGCAACUGUUUAGAGAUUAAUUUAUAACUAGAAUAUCAAAUUAAUAUCACAAAGGCACAAAGGCACACGAAAAUCAAAUUAAUAUCAAUCAACAGCAAAAGCAACCAGCAGGCAUAUGAACAAACAAACAAGCAAACAUCUAAUUACCAAGCAAUGAAGAAAAUCCUGCUCUUGGGGACAUUGCCUUCGGUCAAGAACUCGAAAUCAUAUAUAGCAUAGCGGCACUCAUUAUGAGGGAGGCAAGCAGCGAAAUCUUCGUAGCCUUGAGCUGGCUCACCAAGCUUCUCCACAAUGACUUGCUUUUGAUUCUCCUCAAUCUUGAAAACUAUGAACCUGUGAGUCCUUUUUGUCUUGAGUUCCAAAAACCGCAACUUGCAGGUUCAAAGUUUUCAA